GCCAGCAGCUAUAUCACCCUACAACUCUCAACUGGCUACCCACUGAAGCUAAGCUAGGUUGAGCCUGGUCAGUAGCUGGAUGUGAGACCUCCUGGCAAGCUAUAGUUGCUGCUGGAA
Molecule: ribosomal RNA, 117 nt
Filed under: Lepisosteus oculatus (spotted gar)
Lineage: Eukaryota; Metazoa; Chordata; Actinopteri; Semionotiformes; Lepisosteidae
Source: RNAcentral